Molecule: long non-coding RNA, 1149 nt
Organism: Poecilia latipinna (sailfin molly)
Lineage: Eukaryota; Metazoa; Chordata; Actinopteri; Cyprinodontiformes; Poeciliidae
Exons: 2
Source: RefSeq, a predicted model, not a curated record
CAGCCCACAGAGUCCACUCUGCUGGAAGGGGAUUCACCGGGAUCUCAUCUCGGGAUGAAAAGACUGCAGACCUAAGCAGCCUUUUUGACGUCCUUAAAAGCUAAUUGUGAAACCUGGGUCUCCCAGACGUGCGCCCCGAGGACCCUUUAAACUUUUGCUUCGUCUCAAACUGAUUUAAUAACGCAGCGUUUGUGCAACACAAACAUCCUUGAACGUACGCCUUAAUAAGUCAAUGGGGAUAUAUGCUUUGGGUUAUUGUGAUUUUCAUUACUCCUCAACUCACUGACGGGACUCCACCACGUGUUGCGAAUGAGGCAAUGUGACCGACGUACCCACUCAUUUUCUCCGUACUCUCAUCUCGCCUGCUCGCUCCAUGCUGGGCCGUAGCCGUUUAUCCAGGAGAGCAGGGGUGAAAACACUAACCUUUUCCGCACAGCUAUAACUCCACACCAUGACACCGAACCAACAUUGCUUCAGGGUCCCUCAGUGCUCUCUGUGAAAAUGUCAGACGCUCUUUUCAUCUGGGAGAAAUCCUAUCUGAUUUACUCUACUCCCUUUUCCUCGGCCAAGGCGUCUGUUUGUACAGGACCAUGUUUCAUUUGAAUAUCAAAGUCAGUAAGGAGGUGGCCAGACACUUUAAGUGACUUUUUUUUUUUUUUUCAUGGGGGGUUCUCUCCAGGAAUGCGACUGCUUAGUGUCCUGGACUGAUCAGGAAUCUGAUCAGUCCUACAAAGCAGUCUUUGUGGUACCAAGGGGACCAUGAUCUCUAUUUACCCAUUCGCUGCUCCAUGGAUGAAAUGAACAUAGAUGUCCAUUUGCAUCCCAGGGUGCAACUUUUUAAGCUUCACAGCCUAUAUGGUACUUAAAAAAAAAAAAAUGCUCACAUUUUUGCAUCUGAAACCAAUGAACCCUGAUGGUGAACAUGUUUCCAACAUACUUCUCCUCACCAUGCAGCACACAGCAACAGGCAGAUCAGGAUCAUGCGAUGCAUCUGCCAGAACAGUAUCUGGUUUAAAAUCUGCUCAACACAGUUUUUUUUCUUUUUUUUUCUUUUUUUUUAAGCAAAUCAAAGCUUUGUUGUCCUGAUGGAAUGUGUUUUUCACAAAACUUCAACAAACAAAGAAGUUAAAUAAAUUUGGCUUCAUAUAA